UGCGGCAGAAGGACAGCGGCCUACCGACCCUCUUGCAAUGCCGUUCUUGAUGUAGUUUUAUGGAAAUAUUUUCAGUUACAGUACUCACUAGUUACCGACUUAAUAACCCUUAAUUGCGCUGCAUGCUGUCGAGUGACGAGUAUGUUUCGACGUCCUCUAAGCAAAGAAUAUUACGAGUUAAACUUAUACUUAUUAAAUCAAAGGUGGCAUUUAAAAGAAACACGAAAAUGACGUCACGCAAGCCAAUACCUGAAACCGGAGAUGAUCGCUCGUUCUCCUUCACCUCUGACAUCCGCCCACUAACCCAUCCCAACCCCACCACCGUCAACUCCAGCCGGAGGGAUGGAUCCUGGAAGGGCCCCAGAAACAGGCGGUUCUGACAAAGGGGAAUGGUUUUGGAGAGGAACAAUAUAUAAAUUUUGGAGUUGGUGUUGACUAAUUACUGUCUUGACUAUGCCUAUCUGUUAUGGCUAAACUAAUGUUGCUGUUAGAUUACCGAGGGUUAUCUGAGUUAUUUGGACUUUGAGUUAACAUUCCAUUUAAUCAUUCUGUUAAGAAUCUGAGUUAUUCAGUUAAUACUUUGCUUUUAAAUAAAUGCAUAUUUUUGUAAUUCUCAACUCUGAUUUGAUGACCUAGAUAAUGGAGAGAGAGAGAGCUGUUGCCAGUCGAGAGGGAGAGAGAAAGUAUUGCCAAUUGCCAGCCACCUGCUGCUCUGGCCUAUCGCUACCAAAAUGAAUAACGAGAUAAUUGUCAUCUCGUUAUCAGUGGUGGCAGCUGGUGUUUGAACGGAAAAAGCCUUUUGUGAGAUUAAUAGCAGCUAUAAGAUGCUGUUUUCAGAGUCUGGUUGUGGGAAUGUGUUAGAUUUCAGUUGGUAAGUGACAGGGGAUGAGAAUUAUUUAUCCGUGGGCUCUGGUACUAAGAAGAAAUUUUUUUAUUAGGGUCAGCAUUUCUGCCCAUGGUGAGAUACCUCGAGGGUGUCGGUUGAUCAGUGAGACUUCUGAGUGCGCAUUGCCAAGUGUUUUCUUGCUCGUAAUACCUAGUCGUUCAAAUAUGGGUGUGUAUUCGCGUGUUUGUAAUUGCGCAGAUUCUGGGAUGGUCUUUUCCAUUGUAGUUAGAAAUUAGUUCAUUGGUCAUAUUAAUGGGGUUAAUUGGGAGUCGUUCAACUAGUGUUUCUUGGAAUUUUUUUGAGGUCAUUAUUUGACAGUAGUUGUCUGGGGUUAAUUCAUCUUUAAUUGACCGAUGACUCACUGACAUACUGAAACACCAUAAACAUCGUUCCCCAACGCCAGCAAGACGCCCACCAGCCAUUGCAGAGAUGUUGCUGUUGUUUGCCCACAUGCAAGAGUUUCUACGAGUCUACGGGGUUCUACGCCGCUUUUGGACUACGGGAGUCAUCAGUUAUCUUCCGCAGGGAGACGUUUCGCCUUGCUACAACAUGUUUCGCGAGUCUGUGCAGUUGCAGCUGCAGAAAAAAAGGGAGAUUCGAAAAUUUAAGAUGGAAAAAAGGUUCUACACCCAAUUGUUAUUAUAGCCCUGGUAUAGGUUUUUUGAGAUAAUAUUAUAGACAUUGUACUGCCAGAGACAUGCAGUUAUUACUAUAUUAUGUGUUUAAUGAGCUGGCCAAUGUGUUUUUUUAUAUAUAUGAGCUGUUUUAUGUGACCUGUGGUUAGGCUGGUGCUAGCUAUAAUGGUAGCUGAGCUAUCUGUAACAUAAAGAGGGAGAUUUGCUAUGAGAUAUUUUAAAUAAUAUAAUAUGAUAUGAUAUGUAUGAGACAUCAUUGAAUGUCACGUGCUUUGACAUUCCUCAGAAAUUGGGAAUCGUCGAUUUUAGCUUCCCAUGGAGACAGAGAACAUCUCAGCUUAGAAAAUGCUGAUAGGUCUUUUGGUGGUGUGAUAUUAAAAUCCUUACCUAGGCAGGUCAACGCUCGUCUGUCGUUAUGGGCAUUUGUCAAAGGUGCCUUUGAGAACUGGAUAUAAGUGGUUUCUGGGCGUGAACAGUGUGUGCGAUUUCGUGCAUUCAUACGAACCAUGUCCGUACAUAAUAGCAAUGUAACUAAACCAUAGAGAUUGUUGUGGGAGUCAGGCGAAGCCAUGGAGGCUUUUACCUUUUGUGAAAGUGCUUGGAGAUUCUAGGCUGAAAUGGGUAAGAUUUACUGUGCUUUGGCCAAAGGUGUGGCUUGACUGUAUUUUGAUAUUUUGUAAAAGAUGUUCUAUUUCAUUUAAUCUUUUGACUUUUUAUUUUGCAAUUGUGUGUGUUUAUCAGUUUGUUCUCCUGUCUUUUUAACAGGCGGUUCUGACAAAGGGGAAUGGUUUUGGAGAGGAACAAUAUAUAAAUUUUGGAGUUGGUGUUGACUAAUUACUGUCUUGACUAUGCCUAUCUGUUAUGGCUAAACUAAUGUUGCUGUUAGAUUACCGAGGGUUAUCUGAGUUAUUUGGACUUUGAGUUAACAUUCCAUUUAAUCAUUCUGUUAAGAAUCUGAGUUAUUCAGAUAAUGCUUUGCUUUUAAGUAAAUACAUAUUUUUGUAAUUCA
Long non-coding RNA from Macrobrachium nipponense, 2530 nucleotides. RefSeq lists it as uncharacterized. The transcript is spliced from 2 exons. The record is from RefSeq and is a predicted model, not a curated record. NCBI's taxonomy places the organism in Eukaryota, Metazoa, Arthropoda, Malacostraca, Decapoda, Palaemonidae.